AUGUUAUUUCCUCAAAAACCUGUGUAUAUGUAUAUGUAAAAAUAUACAGGAUCUUAUUUUCAUAAAUAAUUUAAAUACUGUUUAUAAAAUAUGUACUGAAUUAUCUAUUAUCUAAAUGGAUGCUGAGAAGAGGAAACCUUUUUUCUGUACCAGCAAAUAUCAAAUUAUAGCAGAGUUAAUAACUCCUAUUAAUUUUAUAUAAUUGGAACAUUUUAUCUCUGUAAAGUUAGUGAGCAUUUCUUACUAAGACUUAUUUACCAGAUGAAGAUACUAUUGCACAAAACAAAAAUUUUCAAAUUUAUGUCAAUUCUUUUUGGUGUUGAAUUUUAAAAUUGUGCUAAGAAAUGUAAAUAAAACCAAAAGAAUUGCUAUUCAUGUUGUUCCAUCAGGUAUUGACUUGAUUUUUAAACUUGGAAGAGCAAUUGCAAUCCUUUGAAAUAAAGACAUGGCCAACAAUAACAGUAGAAACUAUGAAAUUGAGAUGAGCUUGUAAAGAUCCUUCUAUUACGCCAAAAUAUUAUGGACUCCUUUCAAUAUUUUUUCCUAAAAGCCCAACAAUUACCAUUAUACUAAGACCUAGUCUGGUUAUUGUCUGAGUUUGCAUUUCAAGGGUAUUUGAGUAACCUCCUAAUUAAAAAGCACAAAUCAGACCCCUUCACCAAGUGCAAGUGGAGCCCGGGCUCAGCUACUUUGAGUGUCUUUCAGAUGGGUUUUGGAAUCCUGGAGUGCAUAGAUUGCAUUUUAAAUGAUGUCAUUACACUGGCCCAAGGUGGCCUUGUGGUGGUCAUACAGGGGGUGGCAGGCCCAACCACACUCCUGGGGCCUUGGCGUGAGCUUGGACCGCAGCCUGCAUGAGGGAAUGCAAGGGCAAUCUGACACCAUUGUCGCUGCUCUCUUAGUACAAAAACUGGCACAUAUGGUAAAUGAUCCAAACCAGCAUUUUUUUCCCAGUCCUCUACACAGGAAGGAGAUUUGGAGCAAAACCGGAACAAAGGCCUGUCACGAUGAAGAAGAGCCCCAAGCUAAGCAGAACCCCGGCCACCUACAUCUUUCAUUUCCAUCCCCCUGCCUUGAAAGAGGGAAAUAUAAGAAAACAGGUAUGGGGGUGAGGUUUGAGGAUUUUCCUAAUAUUAAGGAGAGGAGGUUCCCUCUGGGCUGAUAUUAUUGCAGGGAUUAAUUACAGAGGUUUGAGGUCAGGGAACUAGUCACCAGUCCCUGGGACAAAUAGCAUCACUAUUGAAAUGACAAGGCUAACACACGACACAGACUCUGUUUCCCUUCAUCUUGCUCAUUCCUUCGGGAUCCUGAGGAUCAGACUGAAGAGUAUGGGCUGGGGAGGUGCCCUGGGUUUGGGCAUCUCGACCCCAAGGCACAGAGGGGACAGGCCACGCCAGCGACGGAGGGCGGCUGGGGCCACUCUGCAGAGCUUCUCGUCACUUCCUCAGUUUGCAGAGCCGGACAACCCUGCUGUAGGUCAGAAUGUGUGAGUUUCCAAAAUGAAGUUCUGUUUACAUGCUCCAUUAAUUUUAAAUAGUGGCCAAGUGUGCUUCGUGAAGGAUUCCGCUAUCUGGCCUGCACGUCCGGACGCUCGCUAUCUCCCCAAAUGCGUGUGGGUUCUUAGGUCCCUCGGGGUAGACAUCCCCUCUGCACAGAGGAGGCAGUGACUGCUAUUAAGUUUGAAUAUUUAGAUUUCUCACUUCAGUAAAUUUCAUCAGGGAAAGCUUAUUUUCAGGGGAUUAGAAAAUGUUGUUAGGCAUUGUCGGAGGACAGCCAUAGGAAACCAACAGUUUGGAUGAUGGUUUUUCAUUGCCUUUGGUGGUAUGAAGGGUUUAGCCAGCCAGACUGUAUGUUCACACUAUGAUCUGGGGCCCCUGCUCACCUCCAUGGCAGUGGACAACUGGCCAAGCCCCAAACAGAGAUUUGUCUCCCAAGCACACAGCACUGCCUUAAAUGAGGAAUAAUAAAGGGCAUGGAGGGCUUGGGGAAAACAUAUAUGUUAUUUAUGGGGCCAGGACAUAUCAAUGUGCAGUCUUCAUUGUGUUGACUUUUACAUUUCCAUGAAGACUAUGGCAGACAUAAGGAGCAUCUUAAUCAUUUCCAUUUCACUAUGGUUUUAAAGACAUAGAUUAUUUUGGAAGAGUUAAAACAUAAAAGCAUAAGGUGGAUGCUAUUUGUAUUAGUGACAGAAUUUAAUGCCUAAAUUAUUUAUAGUAUUAACAGAAUUUUUGUAUAUUGACCAACAUACUACACCUUUCUGUCUACUGUGCAUGUAUAAAUUUCUUUGGCAAUACCCCUAGGUGGCAGGGUAAUAUUAUGAUACUUUAGUUCUGAAGAUGCUCAACAUUCUAACCUUAAAAAGGGAGAGACAGAAAAUUAGUAAUAAUUUCUUGAAUCCUUAAUCUUGAAUUUGAACAUCUCCGAAAAUAGGAAGUAUAAAAAAUCAGUUGGUAGCUGGCCCUAAGCAGGUUUUAUCAUCAAUAUGGAACCACAUGUGUUUGAGUAUUCGAAAACUUGUCUGAAUAAAAAUAGGUUUUUCUUUUAUCUUAGUAAAGAGGAGGGAGAAGAGAGACCUUGGAGCCUGUUGCCCCAACACCUCGGUAAUCAGAAGCUCAUGUUUUGGAUUAUAAUUUCUUUCCAAAAUAUUCCAUAUCAUUUACUAAAACUGAUUAAACAAAACCCAACAAAACAAAAACAAAGCAAUAACUAGGACUUAGGGUAUGGAUGAUAGUUAACCUAUAUUUUAUUUUGCCAAAAUAACAUUUUAGAACAUGUGAAAUAUAUUCCACUGAAGGCGUGGCUUAAGAGUCCUCUGAAACCUUGCUCAUAUAAAUUGGUACAAUUAUGUAGGGAAGUCAUUGGACAUCUGGACAAAAAAACUCAAAAUAUUUAGGAACUUUGACCUCAUGCUUCCACUUCAUGAAUUGAUCCUAAGGAAGUUAAAUAUAAUAGCAACAAUAACUCUUAUGAACUUUGAUGCACAUUUAAAAUGAUAUAGAAUUUGUUAAUGAAAUAACCAGGUGUUCAUGUGGUGGAAUAAUAUAUAACCAUCAAAAUUUGGUUUACAAACAAUAUUUAAUAUACUGGGAAAUGUUUACCAUAGCAUUAAGUGAAAAAUUUGGAUUUGAAUUGCAAAAAUGUCAUUACAAUAAGAUAUUAAAAAUAAAAGUCUGGCAUAAAAAAAUCUCAAAAUAGUUACAGAAGUUUCCUCUAGAUAUUAUGGGUAAUUCUUCUAGAAUUAUGGGUAAUUUUUUUCAUUAAACUGUUCUAUAAUUUUUAAAUUUUCUCCAAAGAAUUAUAUAUUUUUGUUAUGUAACAACAAAAUAAUUUUAGUUCCUGUAUUUCUGUGACUAUGUCCAAACACAAAACAUAUUUAGAUAGAUGACUAAGAUGUGUAAAUAUAGUUUUAUAUAUGUGUUUGGUGUGAAUAGAAUGAGAAAAAUGUGCUGGUUAUUUCUAUAUUAAUAUUCAGAUUGAAGUAGAUCAUUGAACUUAUCUGAGCUUGUUAUCUAAUUUUUAAACAUCUAAAUAGAAUGAAAAUCAGUCAAGAUAAUCAUUGAGAUUUUAAAAUGAUAAAAUUUACAGAUUAAUAAUACUUUAUAAAUCUUCAAUAGAAGUGCCAAUUCAUAAAGCUUGAAUUCCUGUUCAUGAGAAUUAAAAAUUCAUAAAUGAGGUGUUUUCACAGUGUUCUCUUUCAUAAUCUUACAAAGCUAUGUACUUCUGCUUUAAUACAUUAUGUGCAACUUCAUGGCUAUUAAUGAAUAAAAAAUAGUCUUAAAUGUUCAUAUAUUUGCAAAAUGUCACAAAAUAUAUAUCCCUGUGUUGACUGAGACCCGUUUUUACGUGGUCUUCUUUCUCUCCUAGCAUUUUUAAAAAUAAUAUUUUUUAAAGAUUUUAUUUUUGAGUAAUGUCCACACCCAACAUGGACUCGAACUUAGAAUCCUGAGAUCAAGAGUUGCACACUGCACCGACUGAGCCCGCUAGGUGCCCCCUUUUUUUUUGAAGUAUUUAGAAGAUACCACAAGGGUCAGAGGUGAAGGAGCCUCAGGGGAAGCCCUCAACAUGGGCAAAUUAGGUAGUGUGUCCUUCAAUAACUAAGGCUCUCAGCUCAUAACUCCUGUUUUCCUUACCACCUACAUCUGUGAGACUUUGGUUUGCUAGUUUCACUGGUGUCUCUCACUCCCACCUACAACCUUUGCCGUAAUCAUUAAACUGGGUCUGCAUUUCUCUUUCACUCCCAUUUUGAGUUGUAUUUCUACUUUGUUAGAUAAUGUCCUUAAAGGUUUAUUAUACUUAUUUUAAUCUUAGAUUUAUAAUUAAAGCCAUUCAAUUCUCAUUAUCUCUUAUUUUGCCAAAGUUUUCCAAAUUUUAAUUGGAAAAUUUUUUGAUUUUCCAAUUAAAGCCAUUCAGUACUCAUUAUCUCUUAUUUUUCCAAAAUUUUGUUUUAGUUGGAUGAAGCUUGACCCCUACUAGAAUACUCAAAAAAAUUUUUGACUACAAAAUUUCUCAAGUUCUAGGAAGUUUAGAACUGAAAUCCUUGGGGUACUUGGAUGGCUCAGUCAGUUGAGCCUCUGACUCUUGAUUUCAGCUCAGGUCAUGAUCUCAGGGUUGUGUGAUCAAGCCCAAUAUUGGGGGGGGGGGUCCCUGCUCAGCAGGGGUCUGCUUGAGAUUCUCUCUCUCCCUCUCCCUCUACCCUUCCCCCCACUCACAUCCUCUCCCUCCCUCGCCCUCCCUCUCUCAAAUAAAUAAAUAAAUCUUUAAAAUAAAAAACCUUGAAAUCCUUGACUCACACUUUUAUUUUAUUGAGAUAUACUGGCAUACAGCAUUCUAUUAGUUUCAGUGUACAAAGUAAUGGUUGACAUCCAUCACUACUGGGGUUGUGAUGGAGAUGAGUGGGGAGUGUAAGGAAUCUACGGGAAGGGGAGAUAGAUCAUAAAUCUCUGGUUUGGGCAGCUGCCCCCAUGAGGCAGGACAAUGCAGGAAACCCCAGUGGUGAGAUUUGGAGAAGGGGAUAGCUUUGGUUCUGGGCAUGGGACUCAUCAGGUUAUCAGGUCAGGCAGGCAUCACUGGGGCAGUGCAGGAUGUGGGCUAUAUAAGGAGGGCCUGGGGUAGUGACAGAGGUUAGUGAGGAAGCAUCAAAGGAAGGAGUUGAAGCCAUAGAGGUGAGUAGGCACACUCAGAAACAGUGUGGGAGUAGGAAACAGGGGCCACCCAGGGCAGGACCUGAGGGACAUGGACUUUCAUAGGACAGCAGGAAUCAGAGCAGCAGGCACUCAAGGCAGCGGCUGUAUCGGUUGAACUAAUCUGAGGCACAAGACAGUCACAGAGAAGAAGGGAAGAAGAUGUUUGAAGAAGUAAGGAAUGGCUGACCAUAUCAAAGGCAGCUGAGAAGCCAGAUGAGUGAAGGAGUAAGAAGAGGUCAUAGAGUACUCCAAACAAGUCACUGAUUGAACAGUCCAUGAACUGCUGGAGAUGGACAAGUGAAUGAGAGAUAAAAGCAUUUAUAAU
RNAcentral lists this long non-coding RNA (5505 nucleotides) under Canis lupus familiaris (dog). RNAcentral's name for it is "lncRNA (ENSCAFG00030010110.1)". Lineage: Eukaryota; Metazoa; Chordata; Mammalia; Carnivora; Canidae. The record is from RNAcentral.